This 205-nucleotide long non-coding RNA is filed under the name Homo sapiens (human). Its description in RNAcentral is "HSALNT0220022". Lineage: Eukaryota; Metazoa; Chordata; Mammalia; Primates; Hominidae. The record is from RNAcentral.
GGAACUCUACGAAAGCUAUGCCUAAAUUAAGAUAAUGGAACUGCCUUAGUUGAUCCCAGGUCAUUUGACUCUUUGACUGCCAAUUAGAAGUGACAGCUUAUGAAAUUACUUACAAAAAGAAGAUGAAACAAUGAUGAUGAAGAAAAAGAAGAAAAGGAAAAGAUGGCAACAAAGAAGGAGAAACAGAACCGGAAAAGGAAGAAGA